AUUGACCGCUGGCGGCAGGCCUAACACAUGCAAGUCGAGCGGAGCGGCGGACGGGUGAGUAAUGCCUAGGAAUCUGCCUGGUAGUGGGGGAUAACGUCCGCAAACGGGCGCUAAUAUAGCAUACUAUAAGUUGAGACUAGGUCGGAUUAUCUAGUUGGUGGGGUAAGGGUCUACCAUGGCGACGAUCCGUAACUGGUGUGAGAGGAUGAUCAGUCACACUGGAACUGAGACACGGUCCAUACUCCGACGGGAGGCAGCAAGGGGGAAUAUUGGACAAUGGGCGAAAGCCUGAUCCAGCCAUGCCGCGUGUGUGAAGAAGGUCUUCGGAUUGUAAAGCACUUUAAGUUGGGAGGCGUUACCAACAGAAUAAGCACCGGCUAACUUCGUGCCAGCAGCCGCGGUAAUUC
This 407-nucleotide ribosomal RNA is filed under the name uncultured bacterium. RNAcentral describes it as "partial 16S ribosomal RNA". It matches the Rfam family "Bacterial small subunit ribosomal RNA", at positions 30 to 526 of the family's 1533-position model. The record is from RNAcentral.